CCCGACGUCAGCGGAAGUGGCGUAGGAAGCUUGGCUUCCCCGGACUCGCGGUCACAAUAUUGGCUUUUGAGGUUCCGUCAGAUUUCCGCGAGCGGCUUUAAGAAUCCCGCGUGGUGGGAAUUCCAGGACUUAAGAUGUGGUUUGUGAUGCUGCCUUCCUAGAAUGAGACCACUCCUAUAAAGGAAAAAACUUCAGUCUCAAGCCCAGAAAUUCGUCCUUGCUGAGGAUACUACUUGAUACACUGUUACCAGGAUUUCAGGAUAGAUCCUAAAAGUGGUGGCCAUUUCCUAAAAGCUGUGAAAAGAUGACCCAGUCCCAGGGCUUAUUGUCAUUCAGUGACGUGGCUGUGGAUUUCACCUGGGAAGAGUGGCAGCUUCUAGACACCGUUCAGAAGGACCUCUACCGGGAUGUGAUGCUGGAAAAUUACAGCAACCUCAUGUCCCUGGGUAAAGACAACUUUCCUAAUAACCGCAGCAUAUGCCCAUUAAUUGCCUGUCUUUUUUCCAUUGCAACAAUCUAUGGGUACUUGGAUGCCCUCAAUGAUUUUGAACUUGGACUAGUAUUGGUAGGUGACAGAGCUGAUUUUAUUAUCUUACAGGGACUGUACUUAAUUUCAUUUUCCAAUUAAAAAGCUUCUAUUGUUCUGAGAGUUAAGCCAUACGUUCCCUGACAUAGAACUUUCCCUCACAAGCCCUAAUACUGCUCUGGUUCUCUUUGAUUACCCCUGACAGGUCAUCAAGCGACCAAGCCAGAAGCAGUGGUGCACUUGGAGAAAGGAAAGCAACAAGGAACAGUCGAGAGGGAAUUUUCAAAUCAGUGUAGUCCAGGUGAGUGAAACCAAUGCAGGAGGAGUUCAUAGAAGCAGCGUAACUGUUGGUACUGUUGGAUUGAGACCUUUGCUAUUUUAGUAUAUA
RNAcentral lists this long non-coding RNA (914 nucleotides) under Sus scrofa (pig). RNAcentral describes it as "lncRNA (ENSSSCG00050017157.1)". The record is from RNAcentral. Lineage: Eukaryota; Metazoa; Chordata; Mammalia; Artiodactyla; Suidae.